AACGAACGCUGGCGGCAGGCUUAACACAUGCAAGUCGAACGGGUGUAGCAAUACAUCAGUGGCAGACGGGUGAGUAACACGUGGGAACCUUCCUAGGGGUACGGAACAACUCAGGGAAACUUGAGCUAAUACCGUAUACGUCCGUAAGGAGAAAGAUUCAUCGCCCCUAGACGGGCCCGCGUCGGAUUAGGUAGUUGGUGGGGUAACGGCCUACCAAGCCCACCGAUCCGUAGCUGAUCUGAGAGGAUGAUCAGCCAC
Molecule: ribosomal RNA, 258 nt
Filed under: uncultured bacterium
Lineage: Bacteria
Description: partial 16S ribosomal RNA
Rfam family: Bacterial small subunit ribosomal RNA
Source: RNAcentral